AGUGAACGCUGGCGGUAGGCCUAACACAUGCAAGUCGAACGGCAGCACAGUAAGAGCUUGCUCUUACGGGUGGCGAGUGGCGGACGGGUGAGGAAUACAUCGGAAUCUACUUUUUCGUGGGGGAUAACGUAGGGAAACUUACGCUAAUACCGCAUACGACCUACGGGUGAAAGCAGGGGAUCUUCGGACCUUGCGCGAUUGAAUGAGCCGAUGUCGGAUUAGCUAGUUGGCGGGGUAAAGGCCCACCAAGGCGACGAUCCGUAGCUGGUCUGAGAGGAUGAUCAGCCACACUGGAACUGAGACACGGUCCAGACUCCUACGGGAGGCAGCAGUGGGGAAUAUUGGACAAUGGGCGCAAGCCUGAUCCAGCCAUACCGCGUGGGUGAAGACGGCCUUCGGGUUGUAAAGCCCUUUUGUUGGGAAAGAAAAGCAGCAGGUUAAUACCCCGCUGUUCUGACGGUACCCAAAGAAUAAGCACCGGCUAACUUCGU
Molecule: ribosomal RNA, 491 nt
Filed under: uncultured bacterium
Lineage: Bacteria
Description: partial 16S ribosomal RNA
Rfam family: Bacterial small subunit ribosomal RNA
Source: RNAcentral